UGAUGUGAGGGCAAUCUGCUGUGACAUUUGUCAUCCUAUUGAACACCAGAGUUAAUUUGGCUGCUUUGGCUGGCUAGGCGGGUGUCCCCUUCCUCCUCACCACUCCACGUGUGUCCCUCCUGAAGCUGUGAGCUCAGUCGAAGAGGAAGACCUUCCCCAAGCUGAGCGUGUAUUUGAAGUCACUUUUCUGUUGCCUUUCCAAGGGUCCGAGGGUCCAUCUU
Molecule: unclassified non-coding RNA, 221 nt
Organism: Mesocricetus auratus (golden hamster)
Lineage: Eukaryota; Metazoa; Chordata; Mammalia; Rodentia; Cricetidae
Gene: 7SK
Rfam family: 7SK RNA
About the family: 7SK was discovered as an abundant small nuclear RNA in the mid-70s but a possible function has only recently been suggested.
Source: Ensembl